This 450-nucleotide ribosomal RNA is filed under the name uncultured bacterium. Its description in RNAcentral is "partial 16S ribosomal RNA". It matches the Rfam family "Bacterial small subunit ribosomal RNA", at positions 354 to 796 of the family's 1533-position model. The record is from RNAcentral.
GUGGGGAAUUUUGGACAAUGGGCGAAAGCCUGAUCCAGCCAUGCCGCGUGCAGGAUGAAGGCCUUCGGGUUGUAAACUGCUUUUGUACGGAACGAAAAGACUCCUUCUAAUAAAGGGGGUCCAUGACGGUACCGUAAGAAUAAGCACCGGCUAACUACGUGCCAGCAGCCGCGGUAAUACGUAGGGUGCAAGCGUUAAUCGGAAUUACUGUGCGUAAAGCGUGCGCAAGCGGUUAUAUAAGACAGAUGUGAAAUCCCCGGGCUCAACCUGGGAACUGCAUUUGUGACUGUAUAGCUAGAGUACGGUAGAGGGGGAUGGAAUUCCGCGUGUAGCAGUGAAAUGCGUAGAUAUGCGGAGGAACACCGAUGGCGAAGGCAAUCCCCUGGACCUGUACUGACGCUCAUGCACGAAAGCGUGGGGAGCAAACAGGAUUAGAAACCCUGGUAGUCC